Molecule: transfer RNA, 91 nt
Filed under: Clostridiales bacterium
Lineage: Bacteria; Bacillati; Bacillota; Clostridia; Eubacteriales
Description: tRNA-OTHER
Source: RNAcentral
GGGAUGUUAGUUUACGCGGCGUGGUAAAACAACUCUUGAGUCAAGACUAUACAGAGAUAAGAGGUAGGUUCGAGGCCUACACAUCCCACCA